RNAcentral lists this RNase P RNA (296 nucleotides) under Agrobacterium sp. RNAcentral's name for it is "RNase P RNA component class A". It matches the Rfam family "Bacterial RNase P class A". Rfam says of the family: Ribonuclease P (RNase P) is a ubiquitous endoribonuclease, found in archaea, bacteria and eukarya as well as chloroplasts and mitochondria. Its best characterised activity is the generation of mature 5'-ends of tRNAs by cleaving the 5'-leader elements of precursor-tRNAs. Cellular RNase Ps are ribonucleoproteins. The record is from RNAcentral. Lineage: Bacteria; Pseudomonadati; Pseudomonadota; Alphaproteobacteria; Hyphomicrobiales; Rhizobiaceae.
CCAGUUGGCCGGGCAGCCGCGCUUUACCAAUGUCGAAAGACGGUAAGGUGAGGAAAGUCCGGGCUCCACGNNCACCGCGCCGCUGGUGACAGUGGUGGCAAGGUAAACCCCACCGGGAGCAAGACCGAAUAGGGAUGACAUGGAACGGGCGAAAGCCCGUUUACAGCCGGUUUCCGGGCCCGUCAUCCGGGUGGGUUGCGAGAGGCGGCAUGCAAAUGCCGUCCCAGAUGAAUGGCUGCCACGUUCCGGGUCAAACCGGGGCCAUACAGAACCCGGCUUACAGGCCAACUGGCGAA